UUAAUCUCAAAACUAGAGAUUUCAAGCUUUAAAAUGCUUUUUUUAAAAAUUUUUUACGAUCAUUUUUGACAAAGUUACACUGUCUUGAAUUACGCCUAUUUUCCGGAGUCAGAAUAGGUGAUUCCUUAAUUUGUGUCGAGUGUAUAUAUAUCAAUCAGCAAUCGCGUAGCGUCACUUUUGCAUAGGAAAAUUUUUCGCAUUACUUCGAGAAAAUAGGGUCCCUGUUUGCGUACGUUCUUGGGCUGUAUCACAGACGUCUCUAGGACAUCUGAUGGACGUUCCCAGAACAUCUUCAAAAUGUCUUCUCGCACACAAGUCGUAAACACGAUAUUGUGGAACCAGGAGCCUUAAAUACAAACAGAAGUUUUCAAAAAUAUUUUGAUUUAGUCGUCUAGCGUGCAACUCACUGUGGCGACUAUAUUGCGACGAGCUGUUGAAAAGAUCAAAUCAGUUAUUGGACAAUUAUCAUUGGACAAAACAUCUGCGGUUUGUUCCCAGCUGGACAUGUGUAAAAAAACUAAUUACUUCAUUUACUUCUACACCACCAAAUAGCUA
Long non-coding RNA from Solenopsis invicta (red fire ant), 555 nucleotides. RefSeq lists it as uncharacterized. The transcript has 3 exons. The record is from RefSeq and is a predicted model, not a curated record. Lineage: Eukaryota; Metazoa; Arthropoda; Insecta; Hymenoptera; Formicidae.